AUUGAACGCUGGCGGCAGGCUUAACACAUGCAAGUCGAGCGGGGUGAUGGUGCUUGCACUAUCACUUAGCGGCGGACGGGUGAGUAAUGCUUAGGAAUCUGCCUAUUAGUGGGGGACAACAUCUCGAAAGGGAUGCUAAUACCGCAUACGUCCUACGGGAGAAAGCAGGGGAUCACUUGUGACCUUGCGCUAAUAGAUGAGCCUAAGUCGGAUUAGCUAGUUGGUGGGGUAAAGGCCUACCAAGGCGACGAUCUGUAGCGGGUCUGAGAGGAUGAUCCGCCACACUGGGACUGAGACACGGCCCAGACUCCUACGGGAGGCAGCAGUGGGAAUAUUGGACAAUGGGGGGAACCCUGAUCCAGCCAUGCCGCGUGUGUGAAGAAGGCCUUAUGGUUGUAAAGCACUUUAAGCGGGGAGGAGGCUCUUUUGGUUAAUACCCAAGAUGAGUGGACGUUACUCGCAGAAUAAGCACCGGCUAACUCUGUGCCAGCAGCCGCUGUAA
This 502-nucleotide ribosomal RNA is filed under the name uncultured bacterium. RNAcentral describes it as "partial 16S ribosomal RNA". It matches the Rfam family "Bacterial small subunit ribosomal RNA", at positions 30 to 523 of the family's 1533-position model. The record is from RNAcentral.